Molecule: non-coding RNA, 24 nt
Filed under: Arabidopsis thaliana (thale cress)
Lineage: Eukaryota; Viridiplantae; Streptophyta; Magnoliopsida; Brassicales; Brassicaceae
Source: RNAcentral
ACGGCGGUGGUUGCCGGCGAUGGU